Molecule: ribosomal RNA, 301 nt
Filed under: uncultured bacterium
Lineage: Bacteria
Description: partial 16S ribosomal RNA
Rfam family: Bacterial small subunit ribosomal RNA
Source: RNAcentral
CAGUAGCCGCGGUAAUACGGAGGGUGCAAGCGUUAAUCGGAAUUACUGGGCGUAAAGCGUGCGCAGGCGGUUUGUUAAGACAGAUGUGAAAUCCCCGGGCUCAACCUGGGAACUGCAUUUGUGACUGGCAAGCUAGAGUCUGGCAGAGGGGGGUGGAAUUCCGCGUGUAGCAGUGAAAUGCGUAGAUAUGCGGAGGAACACCGAUGGCGAAGGCAGCCCCCUGGGCCAACACUGACGCUCAUGCACGAAAGCGUGGGGAGCAAACAGGAUUAGAGACCCCUGUAGUCCCUGUCUCUUAUAC